Long non-coding RNA from Panonychus citri (citrus red mite), 2690 nucleotides. RefSeq lists it as uncharacterized. The transcript is spliced from 7 exons. The record is from RefSeq and is a predicted model, not a curated record. Lineage: Eukaryota; Metazoa; Arthropoda; Arachnida; Trombidiformes; Tetranychidae.
GAAGAUAUUUAAAGAUAAUGAAAGUAAUACAAACAUUUACAAUGAGAAAUCAAGGAGACCCAAAGAAUUGAUUGAAAAAUAAGAUAAUUCAAAUCAAGAUGAAGAAAAAUGUGGAUAAGCGUUAAAUCAUUUGGAUUAGUGAUUAAAACAACCUGAGAUAUAAUUUUAACUAAUCUGGAUUAGGAUUAAGAAGAAAUAAUCAUCUGAUAAUGAUCAGUGUAUGUCAUUUGUUUGAACCGAUCACACGAAUGGAAAAUGUUUCAUUAAGAGUACGAUGUUUAUAAAUUGCUACAAUUAAGCUCAAUUAUCCAAUAUGGAAACAUUGAAUUCUCAUGAAAACAAAUUUCAUUUGAUUUCAGCAAACAUGUAAAAAAAGAAUGAAAAAAAUGACAUGAAAUCUUCCUUCAAGGUUAAUCAUCUCAAUUAAUCUUAUGGUUAUCUCUUGAUCGGACAAAUUGUUACCAAUCUAAUUCAUCGUUGACACUGGUAAAGGACAAAUCAACAAGUUACAGAGUUUUGGCUGCACAAAAGUUCUGGACAAUCGGACGAUUGGGUGGACAAUGGACAAUGGUCAAUGAGAAAAUGGAAUGGAUCAAUAUCAAGAAUGAAAUUGGAAAUUGGAAAUAUUGGAAAAUGGAAAUGAAAGAAUUGAGCUAAUUACCUUUCCAUUGAAAUCUAAUUGUUGCAUUUCUUGGUCUGAAUUACCGAUUCCGAUGAAGGCACAAAUUUGUGUUGAUGAUUCUGAUUGUCCAGCUUGUAUCAUUUGCUGUUGUCUAUGUGACCAACCUUGACCAUAGAGAUAAAUACAUGGAGGUGGACAAAAGAAUCGCUUCUCGUUUCCAUAAGAUUUUUGGGCGACCUUUGCAUAAAUUGUUCCAGUCGUUGAUGAUGCAGUUACUGAAACUAAUGGAGAUGUUGUCUUUCCUUUGUUAACCUGUGAAGGCAUCGGUGUUAUUAUUGUCCCUGUCGUACUUGAUCUCGUUAAAUUGGUCCCAUCAUCGUCGCUAUUACCCCCACCACCUCCAUUACCAUCAACACCAUCAUUCGGUAAACCAGAUUUCGAUAAAGGACUUGGUGAACCGUGAACCUGAUUAGUUUUCUAUAAACUUUGAUGAUUUAGGAUGAUAAUGUUGAUCAAUAACAAAAGUCUGUAAAGGAAAAGACAACAGAGAACAAAAAAAAAAUCGAAAAACAAUUGAUAUUAUUUUCCGUUCAAUUAGUACAUGGAAUAUGAUCAUGUUUCCAUCAAAGAAGCAAUAACAGACAAAAAAAUCAACAGAAUCAAUGUUUACUGAUACAAACUUGUUGAUAACAUGAGCUUACGCACAUGAUGGUGUUUGGAAUAAGAAGAAAAAAAGUUCUGAUGAAUUCAUUAAACCAUGUAACUUUUUCAUGAUGGAAUAUAAAAAAACAAGGAAGAAAUUAAUCAAACAACAAAUUGAUUAGAAUCUCACCAAGUCCAUCUUUAAUCAACCUCGAAAAUAAUAAUUAAUGAUCAUAACAAUAAUUGAAUGACACAAAUGGAUAACUGAUUAUUCAAGUGAUCAUUAAAUCAUUCAUUCAAUAUACAAGAGUAAUACACACUCAAGACUAAUAAUCACAAUUAAACUACUGGAAACAAUUGUUACUUGACGAUGGUUAAUUUGCUAAAAAAAAGGUGAUCUUAAUCAUGGUAAUCAACAUAAUCAUUACAAUACCAUCAUCAUAACCCUUUAUUAUUAUAAAGUUUAUUAAACUUUAUCAUCUUGAUUGUUGUUAUUAGAUUAUACAUUUAAAUUACAGAUGACAAUUUACAAUUGAGAUUACAUUGUUCUGGUGUUCCAGGAACAACAAUUCCAGCAAUUAGUUUACACCUAAGGUAAUACCCAUUACAUUAUGAAGAUAAUCUUCCUCAUCAUCAUCAUCAUCUUCUUCUUCUUCUUCUUCAUCCCUCUGAACAACAUGGUGACUUUUGGUGAGAACUUAUUAUUACUAUGAUUUUCCAAGUUUCAACGUGUCAAAUUUACUCCUCAAUUCUGAACCUGUUCCUGUUGUUGUUGUUGUUGUUGGCAUAAAGUCCUAAACGAUAUUUCAAUGAAUUGAACUCAGAGUAUUUCGGUUUACUACUUGAUGAUUGUUAUUCUGUGUUUUUCUUGUAUGUGAGGGUUAAUGUGCUCAGAAAGAUAUAAACUAAACUCAAGUUUUGACUUACAGGUAGGUUACACCUUAGCCCGGUCGCCGACGACUUUACACCGUGGGAACUCACAAUUAUGUUGAUGUUAUAUGUAUGAUGUAGGUGCAAAUAACCAUGAACACAUGAUGAUGAUGAUGAGUAUACAUUGGAUUAUAAGUACAAUAACAUUAACAAAAUUGUGAUCAAAAUGAAUUGCAAGAAAAUAUAUUUACAUUUAUAUAUACGUUAGAACUUUUUUUAGAACAUUAAGACGAAAGAGAAAGGGAAGCAAAUUCGAUUCGAAAGUUAUGAUUAACCUUUCCUAAUGUAAUAAUUGUAAUAGUAUUUGAAGACAAUUUAAAUGAGCCUGAUGAUAAUGAUGAUGAUAAUAAAAUUACUCUGAUAAUCAGUUGAUGAUUUAAAAUGCUCAAUAAUAACAAUAAUAAUGAUCUGAUUACAAUUAUCAUUUCAUGAACAUCGAAUCUGUAAAAAGAAAUGAAAAUUGUUUCAGAACUUUUUUUUCCCCUCAACUUUCACC